Molecule: non-coding RNA, 102 nt
Organism: Podarcis lilfordi (Lilford's wall lizard)
Lineage: Eukaryota; Metazoa; Chordata; Lepidosauria; Squamata; Lacertidae
Source: the annotation of a GenBank genome assembly
AGUCCAGUAGCGCCUUAGAGACCAACUAAGUUUGUUCUAGGUAUAAGCUUUCGUGUGCAUACCUAGAAUGAACUUAGUUGGUCUCUAAGGUGCUACUGGACU